RNAcentral lists this ribosomal RNA (359 nucleotides) under uncultured bacterium. Its description in RNAcentral is "bacterial SSU rRNA". It matches the Rfam family "Bacterial small subunit ribosomal RNA", at positions 541 to 904 of the family's 1533-position model. The record is from RNAcentral.
UUAUCCGGAAUGAUUGGGCGUAAAGGGUGCGUAGGCGGCCCGUUAAGUCUGGAGUCAAAGCCGGCAGCUCAACUGUCGUACGCUUUGGAAACUGGCGGGCUGGAGUGCAGAAGAGGGCGAUGGAACUCCAUGUGUAGCGGUAAAAUGCGUAGAUAUAUGGAAGAACACCAGUGGCGAAGGCGGUCGCCUGGUCUGCAACUGACGCUGAAGCACGAAAGCGUGGGGAGCAAAUAGGAUUAGAUACCCUAGUAGUCCACGCCGUAAACGAUGAGAACUAAGUGUUGGGGGAAUAACUCAGUGCUGCAGUUAACGCAAUAAGUUCUCCGCCUGGGGAGUAUGCACGCAAGUGUGAAACUCAA